CUUGGUCAUUUAGAGGAAGUAAAAGUCGUAACAAGGUUUCCGUAGGUGAACCUGCGGAAGGAUCAUUAAUGAAAAGAAUGUUGAGAAGGGUUGUAGCUGGCCUCUUGGGGCAUGUGCACACCUUGAUCAUACAUCCAACUCUUACACCUGUGCACUUAUAUGUAGCUUGGGAUGAUUACGGUAUUAGAAAUGAUAUUGAAUGCCCUUGCUAUGAAAUUUUACACACACACAUAAAAAGUUAUAGAAUGAAGUUAUAGCGUGUAACAACGUGAAUAUAUACAACUUUCAGCAACGGAUCUCUUGGCUCUCGCAUCGAUGAAGAACGCAGCGAAAUGCGAUAAGUAAUGUGAAUUGCAGAAUUCAGUGAAUCAUCGAAUCUUUGAACGCACCUUGCGCUCCUUGGUAUUCCGAGGAGCAUGCCUGUUUGAGUGUCAUGAAUAUAUCAACUGCUUUUAGCAUUUAUAUGGUGAAAGUGAAGUUGGAGUUGGAGGAUAAUUGCUGGCGUGACUUAGGUUGCUUGUUAGCUCCUCUUGAAAGUAUGAGCUUUUCUAAUAGAUCAUGGCUUCAGUAACACUAAUGUGAUAAAUAUCAAUGUUAGAUGUCUGGUAGCUGUGAGUAGGGUGACUUCAAUUAUGGAGGAGCUCCUAUAGAAAGGGAUGUCUUAGAAAAUAAAGUGUCUCGGAAAUUUUUUUGAGCGAUUGAAUUUUCUAAGAGGAAGAUAACAAAUAUACAUCUGACCUCAAAUCAGGUAGGACUACCCGCUGAACUUAAGCAUAUCAAUAAGCGGAGGAAAAGAAACUAACAAGGAUUCCCCUAGUAACUGCGAGUGAAGCGGGAAAAGCUCAAAUUUAAAAUCUGGCAUGCCUUUGGCUGUCCGAAUUGUAGUCUGGAGAAGUGUUUUCCGUGCUGGACCAUGUACAAGUCCCUUGGAAUAGGGCGUCAUAGAGGGUGAGAAUCCCGUCUUUGACAUGGACUACCAGUGCUUUGUGAUGCGCUCUCAAAGAGUCGAGUUGUUUGGGAAUGCAGCUCAAAAUGGGUGGUAAAUUCCAUCUAAAGCUAAAUAUAGGCGAGAGACCGAUAGCGAACAAGUACCGUGAGGGAAAGAUGAAAAGCACUUUGGAAAGAGAGUUAAACAGUACGUGAAAUUGCUGAAAGGGAAACGCUUGAAGUCAGUCAUGUCUGCUGGGACUCAGCCUUGCUUUUGCUUGGUGCAUUUUCCAGUUUGACAGGCCAGCAUCGAUUUUGACUAUUGGAAAAAGGUAAAGGAAAUGUGGCACCUUCGGGUGUGUUAUAGUCCUGGACCACAUACAAUAGUUGGGAUCGAGGAUCGCAGCAUGCCUUUAUGGCCGGGGUUCGCCCACGUACAUGCUUAGGAUGCUGGCAUAAUGGCUUUAAGCGACCCGUCUUGAAACACGGACC
This 1419-nucleotide ribosomal RNA is filed under the name uncultured fungus. RNAcentral's name for it is "eukaryotic LSU rRNA". The stretch from base 735 to 1419 matches the Rfam family "Eukaryotic large subunit ribosomal RNA", at positions 1 to 667 of the family's 3401-position model. Lineage: Eukaryota; Fungi. The record is from RNAcentral.